AAGUCUGAUGGAGCAACGCCGCGUGAGUGAAGAAGGCUUUCGGGUCGUAAAACUCUGUUGUUGGAGAAGAAUGGUCGGCAGAGUAACUGUUGUCGGCGUGACGGUAUCCAACCAGAAAGCCACGGCUAACUACGUGCCAGCAGCCGCGGUAAUACGUAGGUGGCAAGCGUUAUCCGGAUUUAUUGGGCGUAAAGCGAGCGCAGGCGGUUUUUUAAGUCUGAUGUGAAAGCCCUCGGCUUAACCGAGGAAGUGCAUCGGAAACUGGGAAACUUGAGUGCAGAAGAGGACAGUGGAACUCCAUGUGUAGCGGUGAAAUGCGUAGGAUAUAUGGAAGAACACCAGUGGCGAAGGCGGCUGUCUGGUCUGUAACUGACGCUGAGGCUCGAAAGCAUGGGUAGCGAACAGGAUUAGAUACCCUGGUAGUCCAUGCCGUAAACGAUGAAUGCUAGGUGUUGGAGGGUUUCCGCCCUUCAGUGCUGCAGCUAACGCAUUAAGCAUUCCGCCUGGGGAGUACGACCGCAAGGUUGAAACUCAAAGGAAUUGUCGGGGGCCCGCACAAGCGGUGGAGCAUGUGGUUUAAUUCGAAGCAACGCGAAGAACCUUACCAGGUCUUGACAUCUUUU
Molecule: ribosomal RNA, 623 nt
Filed under: Lacticaseibacillus rhamnosus
Lineage: Bacteria; Bacillati; Bacillota; Bacilli; Lactobacillales; Lactobacillaceae
Description: bacterial SSU rRNA
Rfam family: Bacterial small subunit ribosomal RNA
Source: RNAcentral